Molecule: long non-coding RNA, 2122 nt
Filed under: Triticum aestivum (bread wheat)
Lineage: Eukaryota; Viridiplantae; Streptophyta; Magnoliopsida; Poales; Poaceae
Description: long non-coding RNA (TAES_LNC007336)
Source: RNAcentral
UAACCUUUUGGCUAGUGAACUUAUACAAAAAAAGGGCUACUCUUGCUGAUACAACAGAUUCAACAGAACUUAUACAAAAAAAGGGCUUCUCUUUCUUGUUUUAUCUUCUAUCUAUCAUAAGAACUGAUACAACAGAUUCGUUUGAAUUGUUGCUCACAAAAAAAGGGCUACUCUUGCUUUACUUAGUGUUACGAAAAGUACUACAAAGAUUACUAUAAGAUUUGUGAACUCAAGGCCGUACAUAAGUUGUACUGAUCCACAUGGGAAGAUUUGCUAUGUACAGCUUAUGGAAUCAUACAAGAAAAAUUUUUUUCAUCUUUUUUAUGCCAUAACUACACAUCAGCAAGUCUAGCAGUGCCACCUCUCGACAUAGUCUCCUUUGCGCUAGUUACCAGUCUUGUUCCUUGGCGAAGCCUCAAUUCCUAUAAGAUCAAAAGGGCAGGCAUGAGAGAAAGAUAAAUGGAACACUACUUGUGCAGUUUGAUACUUUUUUGGCAUCCUGUAGUGGUUAUAGUCCUCUCGUGUGUUUUGCUACAAAUUACAUUACUUGAGAAUUUUUGUCUGUUUUCAACUUUAGGUCACGGAGAACCAGUAAGUUCUACUACUGGUGUAGACCAAGUUCGAGGACUUUGCUGGCGACAAACUAUGACAGUUAUCCAGCGGCACCAAUAACCUGAAAAUGUUUUUUCCUGAAAGAAUAUCAUGCAUCAUGAUUCAGAAGAUAUACAGUAGCUACACACAGACAUACAAUAGAUUUUUGUAGCAACACAUGCACCAAACUUACAUAUUUUUUCUUCAACUUAUUUUAGGUGAUUGCAUCAGUACUAGUAUGAUUGGAAAAAAAUUGUUCAUAUUUGUAGCAGCACACACACGAAACUACAGAAUUUUAUGGAAAUGCACUAGUUAUGAUUUUUUAAACUCCUCCAAUGGUUGCACAUGAACUGACCCAGGCGACCAACAGCGGCCCUAUUUUUGAACUUUUUGGUUUUGCUUGAACUUUUCCUUAUCUUUUUCUAGAACUUCACAAAAUAUGAUAAAUGUACUUUCAGUACAUUUUUCUUUGUAAAUGUUCCCUUUUACUGUGCACGGACUAUUUGAUUUAAUUUGCAAAAGAACCACACAAUUAUAUUUAUCCUCUCCCAUCUUAUUUAUCUUGUGUAGUUCUCGCUAUACUAAUGGAAUGAGGUGUUGAGCAGUAACUAAAAUCAUCAAAUAGACAACCCACUCAAGCGUCCUCCAUGAACAGAAUUAGGAUAUUACUAUUACAACCAAACAAAAAUCAAUCCUACAGCACACAUAAACCGUGAUGUCAGGAGCUACAACAAAUCAGAAUGCACAAUGGACUUCCCCUACCUAUCUAACAUUUUUGUUGCAUUAUCUCUUCUCCGUCUUACUAUCAGUUCUACACCUCAAGAUAAGUCAAGCAACUCCAAGCUUGCUUUCAGAAAAUUGGAUUAGACACGUAUGUUUAGUGCUGAUUAAUUACCUAAUGAUUUGAGCAGCUGAUGGUUGGGGCUUUGAUUUCUUUUUCUUGCACGAUAGUGGGUUUGGGCCCUGCAGAAGGAAUAUCAAAUGUUAAUGGUGCCCACUAGAUCAUAACAAGCAAAUAUAGCCGUGCUCAUGCAUAUGACGAAUAUAUGAAAAACAGUAGACGAAGAUACAACCUUUGCUCUGUUCGUCAAGCAAUUCCAGCUAGUGAAACAUGUGAUGAAGAACUGAACUCAAAAACAAGAUUUUUGGAGAUGGAAGAAGGCGUCGGACGUUGGGUGAACCUGCUACCCCUACUCCUGCGGACUGACGGCUCCAGUGAAGUGGAGCUGAUGGAGGCGGGGUUCAAGAGAACCGGCUGGGUGCACCGGGAUUUGACCGCUGUAGGGGGAUACGCUACCCCUACUCAUGCGGACUGGCGGCUCUGGUGAAGUGGAGCUGAUGGAGGCGGGGUCCAGGAGCAGCGGCUGGGAGCGCCAAGAUUUGGCUCUGUAAAGAUGAAGUGCACAUCACAUUAAAGGUGAACUAAAAAUCUUCCUAGCAACCUCGUCCUAUUUCAUUACUCAUAACAUGAUCUAUAGAAAGACUUACAUCCCAAAUAAAAUACAUGCAGAGAUGUAGUAUAGCAACAUAC